UGGGGAAUCUUGCACAAUGGGCGAAAGCCUGAUGCAGCAACGCCGCGUGCGGGAAGAAGGCCCUAGGGUUGUAAACCGCUUUCAGGAGGGAAGAAAAUGACGGUACCUCCAGAAGAAGGUGCGGCCAACUACGUGCCAGCAGCCGCGGUGACACGUAGGCACCAAGCGUUAUCCGGAUUUAUUGGGCGUAAAGAGCUCGUAGGCGGUUCGGUAAGUCGGGUGUGAAAACUUGAGGCUCAACCUCAAGACGCCACCCGAUACUGCUGUGACUAGAGUGCAGUAGGGGAGCAGGGAAUUCCUGGUGUAGCGGUGAAAUGCGCAGAUAUCAGGAGGAACACCAGUGGCGAAGGCGCUGCUCUGGGCUGUAACUGACGCUGAGGAGCGAAAGCAUGGGUAGCAAACAGGAUUAGAUACCCCUGUAGUCC
RNAcentral lists this ribosomal RNA (425 nucleotides) under uncultured prokaryote. RNAcentral describes it as "bacterial SSU rRNA". It matches the Rfam family "Bacterial small subunit ribosomal RNA", at positions 355 to 796 of the family's 1533-position model. The record is from RNAcentral.